This 893-nucleotide long non-coding RNA is filed under the name Marmota monax (woodchuck). The record is from RNAcentral. Lineage: Eukaryota; Metazoa; Chordata; Mammalia; Rodentia; Sciuridae.
GCCUCUAACACCCUGUGGGUGCUUCCAUGCUCCACGCUCCCUCCAUGUCCAGAGUGGGGACCAAGGGCUCCCUCUGGUCCUUCACUCCAGACCCCCACAUCAACCCUCACCUCCAUCUACAUCCUCCCAUCCCAAAGGCAGCGUGGUGCUGUGGCCGCCUGCCCUGGCCCAAGGGUGCCCCCAGAACCAGGACACGAACACACCCAGGCUGUCCUGGAGAGCUACCCUCCACGGUCCCUAUCUCCAAGUGCCAGGCGGAGGCUCAGGGAGAGGGCUCUCGAGCUGACGGCUUGCCAGGGCCAGGGCUGAGAGUGCACAAGGAACGAAGCCAGACCCUGGUUCAGGAGGAAGUCGCGGAGGGAACCCUGUCUGAGAAGCGGCCCUCCCAAGGCGGCUGGCACAGGGGGUCGCACCCUCUCUGACCUCUGCGGUCAGCGGGCCAAGUUCAAAUCCUGUUCCCCGAUGUCCUACCAGUGUGGUCUGGGGCAGGAGGCUUGAGCUAGUGCCUGCUUCUCACCUCUAAAGGGGGUGGAACCCCAGUGCCUGGGGUUGGAUGCUGGGAUGGGAACUCAGAUGGCACAUGAUGGUCACCCAGUACCUGUCGGUCAUUAGAAUGAUCUGAUUGGAUGUUGGGAGGCCAAAGGACAGAGGCCCAGGCCCCCCGGUGGGACCUACUCUUCCAUAUUCUCUGCACACUGUGUCUGCCCACCCUUCUUCAUCCCUCCAAGUGGCCCCAGACUUUGGUUGUGUCACAGCUUAGCAGGAUGACUGUUUCCAAGGGUCUGAGCUCCUGCCUCCUCCAAGUGCAGACCCACGGCCUCGCAGGGGCCCCUUCCCUGUGGCCCUCAGAGCUUGGCAAAGUGAGUGGAGGCUGGGCCAAGAGAGGCUGUUGG